ACAGGCCUACGGGAGGCAGCAGUGGGGAUUAUUGGGCAAUGGGCGCAAGCCUGACCCAGCAACGCCGCGUGAAGGAAGAAGGCUUUCGGGUUGUAAACUUCUUUUAUGAGGGACGAAAGAAAUGACGGUACCUCAUGAAUAAGCCACGGCUAACUACGUGCCAGCAGCCGCGGUAAUACGUAGGUGGCAAGCGUUAUCCGGAUUUACUGGGCGUAAAGGGCGUGUAGGCGGGACUGCAAGUCAGAUGUGAAAAUUAUCGGCUCAACCCAUAACAUGCAUUUGAAACU
Molecule: ribosomal RNA, 287 nt
Filed under: uncultured bacterium
Lineage: Bacteria
Description: partial 16S ribosomal RNA
Rfam family: Bacterial small subunit ribosomal RNA
Source: RNAcentral